AACGAACGCUGGCGGCAGGCCUAACACAUGCAAGUCGAACGCCGUAGCAAUACGGAGUGGCAGACGGGUGAGUAACACGUGGGAACGUACCCUUCGGUUCGGAAUAACUCAGGGAAACUUGAGCUAAAACCGGAUACGUCCGAGAGGAGAAAGAUUUAUCGCCGAGGGAUCGGCCCGCGUCUGAUUAGCUUGUUGGUGAGGUAACGGCUCACCAAGGCGACGAUCAGUAGCUGGUCUGAGAGGAUGAUCAGCCACAUUGGGACUGAGACACGGCCCAAACUCCUACGGGAGGCAGCAGUGGGGAAUAUUGGACAAUGGGCGCAAGCCUGAUCCAGCCAUGCCGCGUGAGUGAUGAAGGCCCUAGGGUUGUAAAGCUCUUUUACCCGGGAAGAUAAUGACUGUACCGGGAGAAUAAGCCCCGGCUAACUUCGUGCCAGCAGCCGCCGCGGUAAG
This 453-nucleotide ribosomal RNA is filed under the name uncultured bacterium. Its description in RNAcentral is "bacterial SSU rRNA". It matches the Rfam family "Bacterial small subunit ribosomal RNA", at positions 29 to 524 of the family's 1533-position model. The record is from RNAcentral.